CCUACGGGAGGCAGCAGUGGGAAUCUUGCACAAUGGGGGAAACCCUGAUGCAGCGACGCCGCGUGGAGGAUGACGGGUCUAGGCCUGUAAACUCCUUUUGCACAGAAAGACUUAGGACGGUACUGUGCGAAUAAGGACCGGCUAACUACGUGCCAGCAGCCGCGGUAAGACGUAGGGUCCAAGCGUUGUCCGGAUUUACUGGGCGUAAAGAGCGCGUAGGCGGUCUGUUAAGUGAGAAGUGAAAUCUCCAGGGCUCAACCCGGAAACUGCUUUUCAUACUGGCGGACUUGAGGGAUGCAGAGGUGAAUGGAAUUCCUGGUGUAGCGGUGAAAUGCGUUGAUAUCAGGAGGAACACCCAUGGCGAAGGCAGUUCACUGGGCAUCAUCUGACGCUGAGGCGCGAAAGCGUGGGUAGCAAACAGGAUUAGAUACCCUGGUAGUCCACGCCCUAAACGAUGGAUACUAGGCGUAAGAGGUAUCGACCCCUCUUGUGCCGCAGCUAACGCAUUAAGUAUCCCGCCUGGGGAGUACGGCCGCAAGGUUGAAACUCAAAUGAAUUGACGGGGACCCGCACAAGCGGUGGAGCAUGUGGAUUAAUUCGAUACUAACCGAAGAACCUUACCCAGACUUGACAUCGAUCGCAAGCCCUAGAAAUAGGGCCCUCCCCCACAAGGGGACGUGAAGACACUUGUUGCAUGGCUGUCGUCAGCUCGUGCCGUGAGGUGUACGGUUAAGUCCGCCAACGAGCGCAACCCUCGUCCUGUGUUACCAGCAUGAAAGAUGGGCACUUACAGGAGACCGCCGGUGUAAGCCGGAGGAAGGUGGGGAUGACGUCAAGUCAGCAUGGCAGUUACGUCUGGGGCUUCACACAUGCUACAAUGGACGAAACAGAGGGCCGCGAUACCGCGAGGUGGAGCCAAUCCCAAAAAUACGUCCUCAGUUCAGAUUGCAGUCUGCAACUCGACUGCAUGAAGUUGGAAUCGCUAGUAA
Molecule: ribosomal RNA, 989 nt
Filed under: uncultured bacterium
Lineage: Bacteria
Description: bacterial SSU rRNA
Rfam family: Bacterial small subunit ribosomal RNA
Source: RNAcentral